Molecule: ribosomal RNA, 849 nt
Filed under: Salinibacterium sp.
Lineage: Bacteria; Bacillati; Actinomycetota; Actinomycetes; Micrococcales; Microbacteriaceae
Description: bacterial SSU rRNA
Rfam family: Bacterial small subunit ribosomal RNA
Source: RNAcentral
AAGUCGAACGAUGAAGCCGGAGCUUGCUCUGGUGGAUUAGUGGCGAACGGGUGAGUAACACGUGAGUAACCUGCCCUUGACUCUGGAAUAAGCGUUGGAAACGACGUCUAAUACCGGAUACGAGCUUCAGCCGCAUGGCUAGGAGCUGGAAAGAAUUUCGGUCAAGGAUGGACUCGCGGCCUAUCAGGUAGUUGGUGAGGUAAUGGCUCACCAAGCCUACGACGGGUAGCCGGCCUGAGAGGGUGACCGGCCACACUGGAACUGAGACACGGUCCAGACUCCUACGGGAGGCAGCAGUGGGGAAUAUUGCACAAUGGGCGCAAGCCUGAUGCAGCAACGCCGCGUGAGGGACGACGGCCUUCGGGUUGUAAACCUCUUUUAGUAGGGAAGAAGCGAAAGUGACGGUACCUGCAGAAAAAGCACCGGCUAACUACGUGCCAGCAGCCGCGGUAAUACGUAGGGUGCAAGCGUUAUCCGGAAUUAUUGGGCGUAAAGAGCUCGUAGGCGGUUUGUCGCGUCUGCUGUGAAAACUGGGGGCUCAACCCCCAGCCUGCAGUGGGUACGGGCAGACUAGAGUGCGGUAGGGGAGAUUGGAAUUCCUGGUGUAGCGGUGGAAUGCGCAGAUAUCAGGAGGAACACCAAUGGCGAAGGCAGAUCUCUGGGCCGUUACUGACGCUGAGGAGCGAAAGCAUGGGGAGCGAACAGGAUUAGAUACCCUGGUAGUCCAUGCCGUAAACGUUGGGAACUAGAUGUAGGGGCCAUUCCACGGUUUCUGUGUCGCAGCUAACGCAUUAAGUUCCCCGCCUGGGGAGUACGGCCGCAAGGCUAAAACUCAAAGGAAUUGACGGG